This 654-nucleotide ribosomal RNA is filed under the name uncultured archaeon. RNAcentral describes it as "bacterial SSU rRNA". It matches the Rfam family "Archaeal small subunit ribosomal RNA", at positions 508 to 1160 of the family's 1478-position model. The record is from RNAcentral.
GCCUAAAGCGUCCGUAGCCUGCUUUGUCAGUUUUCGGUUAAAUCCAUACGCUCAACGUAUGGGCUGCCGGAAAUACUGCAAAGCUAGGGAGUGGGAGAGGUAGACGGUACUCGGGAGGAAGGGGUAAAAUCCUUUGAUCUCUCGAUGACCACCUGUGGCGAAGGCGGUCUACCAGAACACGUCCGACGGUGAGGGAUGAAAGCUGGGGGAGCAAACCGGAUUAGAUACCCGGGUAGUCCCAGCUGUAAACUAUGCAAACUCAGUGAUGCAUUGGCUUGAUGCCAAUGCAGUGUUGCAGGGAAGCCGUUAAGUUUGCCGCCUGGGAAGUACGUACGCAAGUAUGAAACUUAAAGGAAUUGGCGGGGGAGCACCACAAGGGGUGAAGCCUGCGGUUCAAUUGGAGUCAACGCCAGAAAUCUUACCCGAAGAGACAGCAGAAUGAAGGUCAAGCUGGAGACUUUACCAGACAAGCUGAGAAGUGGUGCAUGGCCGUCGCCAGCUCGUGCCGUGAGGUGUCCUGUUAAGUCAGGUAACGAGCGAGACCCUUGCCUCUAGUUGCCACCAUUACUCUCAGGAGUAGUGGGGCGAAUUAGCGGGACCGCUGCAGUUAAUGUGGAGGAAGGAAAGGGCCACGGCAGGUCAGUAUGCCCCGAA